RNAcentral lists this ribosomal RNA (812 nucleotides) under Enterobacter sp. MT 66. RNAcentral describes it as "bacterial SSU rRNA". It matches the Rfam family "Bacterial small subunit ribosomal RNA", at positions 66 to 871 of the family's 1533-position model. Lineage: Bacteria; Pseudomonadati; Pseudomonadota; Gammaproteobacteria; Enterobacterales; Enterobacteriaceae. The record is from RNAcentral.
CUCUAGAGGAGAUAAGAGUGUCCUGGGGCGAGCGCGGACGGGGAGUAUGUCUGGGAAACCUCCUGAUGGAGGGGGAUACUCUGGAAACGGUAGCUAAUCCGCAAAUAACGUCGCAAAAGACCAAAGUGGGGGACCUUCGGGCCUAAUGCCAUCAGAUGUGCCCAGAUGGGAUUAGCUAGUAGGUGGGGCUAAUGGCCUCACCUAGGCGACGGAUCCUAGCUGGUCUGAGAGGAUGACCAGCCACACUGGAACUGAGACACGGGUCCAGACUCCUUCGGGAGGCAGCAGUGGGGAAUAUUGCACAAUGGGCGCAAGCCUGAUGCAGCCAUGCCGCGUGUAUGAGAAGCCCUUCGGGUUGUAAAGUACUUUCAGCGAGGAGGAAGGCGUAAGGUUAAUAACCUUGGCGAUUGACGUUACUCGCAGAAGAAGCACCGGCUAACUCCGUGCCAGCAGCCGCGGUAAUACGGAGGGUGCAAGCGUAAUCGAAUUACUGGGCGUAAAGCGCACGCAGGCGGUCUGUCAAGUCGGAUGUGAAAUCCCCGGGCUCAACCUGGAACUGCAUUCGAAACUGGCAGGCUAGAGUCUUGUAGAGGGGGGAGAAUUCCAGGUGUAGCGGUGAAAUGCGUAGAGAUCUGGAGGAAUACCGGUGGCGAAGGCGGCCCCCUGGACAAAGACUGACGCUCAGGUGCGAAAGCGUGGGGAGCAAACAGGAUUAAGAUACCCUGGUAGGUCCACGCCGUAAACGAUGUCGACUUGAUGGUUGUGCCCUUAAGCGGCUUCCUACCUACUCUANAAGGCCCCUGAGGCGCCCA